AGAGUUUGAUCCUGGCUCAGGAUUAACGCUGGCGGCAUGCCUAAUACAUGCAAGUCGAAUGGGGAGCUUGCUUCCCAUGGCGAACGGGUGAGUAAUACGUAGGUAACCUACCUUUAGGACGAGGAUAACCUUUGGAAACGAAGGAUAAUACUGGAUAGUAUAGAUUUCCGCAUGGAGAUAUAUUUAAAGAUUUAUCACCUAGAGAGGGGCCUGCGGUGCAUUAGCUAGUUGGCGGGAUAAAAGCCCACCAAGGCGAUGAUGCAUAGCCGGACUGAGAGGUUGUACGGCCACAAUGGAACUGAGAACGGUCCAUACUCCUACGGGAGGCAGCAGUAGGGAAUUUUCGGCAAUGGGCGGAAGCCUGACCGAGCCAAUGCCGCGUGAAUGAUGAAGUAUUUCGGUAUGUAAAGUUCUUUUAUCUAGGAAGAAAAAACAAAUUGACGGUACUAGAUGAAUAAGCUCCGGCUAACUACGUGCCAGCCGCCGC
Molecule: ribosomal RNA, 487 nt
Filed under: uncultured bacterium
Lineage: Bacteria
Description: bacterial SSU rRNA
Rfam family: Bacterial small subunit ribosomal RNA
Source: RNAcentral